UACGGAGGAUGCGAGCGUUAUCCGGAUUUAUUGGGUUUAAAGGGUGCGUAGGCGGCUUUUUAAGUCAGCGGUGAAAUUUUGCAGCUUAACUGUAACAGUGCCGUUGAUACCGCAUGGCUAGGAUUUGGUUGCUGUGGGUGGAAUGUGUGGUGUAGCGGUGAAAUGCUUAGAUAUCACACAGAAUAUCGAUUGCGAAGGCAGCUCACAAAGCCAAGAUUGACGCUGAGGCACGAAAGUGUGGGGAUCAAACAGGA
RNAcentral lists this ribosomal RNA (254 nucleotides) under uncultured prokaryote. RNAcentral describes it as "partial 16S ribosomal RNA". It matches the Rfam family "Bacterial small subunit ribosomal RNA", at positions 524 to 777 of the family's 1533-position model. The record is from RNAcentral.